AUACGGAGGGUGCGAGCGUUAAUCGGAAUUACUGGGCGUAAAGCGUACGUGGGCGGUUGGUUAAGUUAGAUGUGAAAGCCCCGGGCUUAACCUGGGAACUGCAUUUAAAACUGGCGAACUAGAGUUGAGUAGAGGGGAGUGGAAUUUCAGGUGUAGCGGUGAAAUGCGUAGAGAUCUGAAGGAACACCAGUGGCGAAGGCGACUCCCUGGACUCGAACUGACGCUGAGGUACGAAAGCGUGGGUAGCAAACGGGAUUAGAAACCCUAGUAGUCC
RNAcentral lists this ribosomal RNA (274 nucleotides) under uncultured bacterium. Its description in RNAcentral is "partial 16S ribosomal RNA". It matches the Rfam family "Bacterial small subunit ribosomal RNA", at positions 523 to 796 of the family's 1533-position model. The record is from RNAcentral.